UAUUUCCUACGGGAGGCAGCAGUGAGGAAUAUUGGUCAAUGGACGAGAGUCUGAACCAGCCAAGUAGCGUGAAGGAUGACUGCCCUAUGGGUUGUAAACUUCUUUUAUAUGGGAAUAAAGUUUUCCACGUGGGGAAUUUUGUAUGUACCAUAUGAAUAAGGAUCGGCUAACUCCGUGCCAGCAGCCGCGGUAAUACGGAGGAUCCGAGCGUUAUCCGGAUUUAUUGGGUUUAAAGGGUGCGCAGGCGGAGGUGCAAGUCAGCGGUCAAAUUGCGGGGCUCAACCCCG
This 287-nucleotide ribosomal RNA is filed under the name uncultured bacterium. Its description in RNAcentral is "partial 16S ribosomal RNA". It matches the Rfam family "Bacterial small subunit ribosomal RNA", at positions 333 to 617 of the family's 1533-position model. The record is from RNAcentral.